GGGUGAGAUCAUACCAGCACUAAUGCACCGGAUCCCAUCGGAACUCCGCAGCUAAGCGUGCUUGGGCGAGAGUAGUACUAGGAUGGGUGACCUCCUGGGAAGUCCUCGUGUUGCACCCC
RNAcentral lists this ribosomal RNA (119 nucleotides) under Arabis alpina (gray rockcress). The record is from RNAcentral. Lineage: Eukaryota; Viridiplantae; Streptophyta; Magnoliopsida; Brassicales; Brassicaceae.